CUCCUCCCUUGCCGAGACCACCGCCAGGACCACCUCCUGUUACCCGACCUCCACCACCUCCUCCCCCACUGAGACCUCCUCCUGUGGCAAGACCACCACCUCCUGGCCCUGCGUAUCAACCUCCACCGCCUCUUCCUC
Long non-coding RNA from Dermacentor andersoni, 138 nucleotides. RefSeq lists it as uncharacterized. The record is from RefSeq and is a predicted model, not a curated record. NCBI's taxonomy places the organism in Eukaryota, Metazoa, Arthropoda, Arachnida, Ixodida, Ixodidae.